GAUGAACGCUGGCGGCGUGCCUAAUACAUGCAAGUCGAGCGAACAGACGAGGAGCUUGCUCCUCUGACGUUAGCGGCGGACGGGUGAGUAACACGUGGAUAACCUACCUAUAAGACUGGGAUAACUUCGGGAAACCGGAGCUAAUACCGGAUAAUAUAUUGAACCGCAUGGUUCAAUAGUGAAAGACGGUUUUGCUGUCACUUAUAGAUGGAUCCGCGCCGCAUUAGCUAGUUGGUAAGGUAACGGCUUACCAAGGCAACGAUGCGUAGCCGACCUGAGAGGGUGAUCGGCCACACUGGAACUGAGACACGGUCCAGACUCCUACGGGAGGCAGCAGUAGGGAAUCUUCCGCAAUGGGCGAAAGCCUGACGGAGCAACGCCGCGUGAAUGAUGAAGGUCUUCGGAUCGUAAAACUCUGUUAUUAGGGAAGAACAAAUGUGUAAGUAACUAUGCACGUCUUGACGGUACCUAAUCAGAAAGUCACGACUAACUACGUG
RNAcentral lists this ribosomal RNA (497 nucleotides) under uncultured bacterium. RNAcentral's name for it is "partial 16S ribosomal RNA". It matches the Rfam family "Bacterial small subunit ribosomal RNA", at positions 28 to 507 of the family's 1533-position model. The record is from RNAcentral.